GUAGUGUUUCCUUUACUAAUUGUGCAGAGAAAUAAGGCCAUUUCCCAUUUCAAAGGGUGAACUUUGACAUUCUCUCUCCCUCUUUUGUGUCCCUUAUGAAAUGCAAUCUGCUUUGCCCAUGACUCCAUGGCCUUUGUUACUAUAAUUUGUGAGGUCUUCCUCUGACAAAUGCUGAAUUUCGCAACGGAAUUCGUUUAAGUUUUCUCUGCUGUACAAAGUGUAAGUUCUCCAAUACUGCACAUUUUUUUAAAAAACCAAGUGAUACAAAUAGCAUAACACUUUUAAAAAAACAUAAAUAACUUUCAGCAUAAAAAUAGUCCUUUAAGGCAAGAGACUAAAAACUAGAAGAUCCAGAAAGGCACUUUUUUUUUUCUUCUCUUUUCAGUUGGGGUCAGACAUGAUAAUAAUUGCCUGGAAUGUUUGCUCUUCUACUGGGAGCAGAUGCCUUGGGGAGAAGUAUAUCAGGAAUAAACUAGGGGUUACAGUUUUGUUCCGGAAUGGAGAGUGUCCAUAAUCAGGCAAAUCUGCAGGAGUAUCUCUUAUUCUGAUAAAAGCCUGAUGGAAAAGGAUAAGCAAAGAAAGCAACAUAUAUAUGUGUCCAAUGCUCUGGAGCAUAGAAGUAGUUCAGGAAGAUUUUUCCUUGGCUUUCUUGGAUCUGAUACAGCUUUCUACCCCAUUUAAAAGCAUGGUCUGACAGUGAUAUCUUGAAGAUUAUGACUUCCCCAGGAAAGUACAGAAAAGUGAGGUUGUAUCCUCAGGUGGCCACUGUGUUCUUAGGGGCCAGAGAGGAGCAAGAAGCAGAGUUAGGAAUGGUUCCCCUGUAACCUGAUUUUUUUGGGUGGGGGGAGGAGGUAGUGAAGGGAAUUAAAAUAAAUAGGAAACUAUAGUGAAUUGGGAGGAAAGCCAGCAAAAUGAGUUAAGUCUCUGGGCUAACUCAGGACCUGGACCAAGUAGGGCAUUAAGAUAAUGGUAUUUGGCAAGCGGAAACGUGGCGUGAGGAAAAUAUCAGGAGCACACAGCAGAGCCAGGUGUAGGAACACAGACAACCCGUAAGUACUCUUCCCCAGGGACCAAAGGGCCUGAUCAAAACAGAUAACUGAAAUGAGCAGAAUGUAUCGUGCCCACAAACUGAACUGCUGGCAGAGAAGGGUUGAGGAAUGAGGACAGCUAUGAGUUUAUAUUAUGGAGUAAAGAAUUUUCCCCUGCAAGCUUCAAGAAUGGGGACAAGCAGUACCUAAGGACUCCCACGAAAUAGGAGGAGGAUUAUGUAACUACAACUACAUGGGGAAGAUGACAACUGGAGAAAGACUGAACUAUUCAGGAGUCCUACAAAAUGUCUCAUGUUUAUGGAAACUGAAUGGAUGCCCAUCAACUGGGAAAUGGCUAAAUAAUUAUGGUACAUGAAGUGGUGUCGGACUAUUCAUGAUCGCAUUUGGGGUUUUCUUGGCCAUUUCCUUCUUCAGCUCAUUCUGCAGAUGAGAAAACUGAAGCAAAUAGGAUCACACAUCUAGUAAGUGUCUGAGACUGGGUUUGAACUCAGGAAAAUGUCUCUUCCUGACAAAUCCAGUACUCUAUCCACUGUGCACUCAGCUGCCCUUUCAUCAACAUACUGAAGAGAAGAAGAUUUUGUAAGGAACAAUUUUCUAACAUUACAGCUCUUCAACAACAGAAUAAGCUGCUGCUUGAAGCAGUGAGCUCCAUGGAAUUUUAUAAUGCAAGCUAGUAGAGGACUGUUACAGUCUUCCUAUUUCCUUGUCUAGCAUCCAUUUGGAAGGAAGAAACUACUAAUAGGAUCCCUGAAAAACUGGGUAUUGGAGUGAAAAGUAUGGGACUUGCUGACACAAGAAAUCUUAACUCAAACCCCUGGAUCACUGGCAAAUGCAUCAUGCUGCUGCCGAAUCUGUAAAACUGGACUAGAUAAGACUCUACCUCUUUCAAAGUUAAUGUGAAAUAAUCAUUGUACAAGAUGAAUUAUUGUGGCAUUCUGAGCCACAAUAGGAGAAAAAAUUAACUAUUUCAUGUUGAAUUCAGAAUAAAGUUUGAGAUA
This is a long non-coding RNA of Antechinus flavipes (yellow-footed antechinus), 2047 nucleotides long. RefSeq lists it as uncharacterized. Lineage: Eukaryota; Metazoa; Chordata; Mammalia; Dasyuromorphia; Dasyuridae. The record is from RefSeq and is a predicted model, not a curated record. The transcript is spliced from 3 exons.